RNAcentral lists this ribosomal RNA (465 nucleotides) under uncultured bacterium. RNAcentral describes it as "partial 16S ribosomal RNA". It matches the Rfam family "Bacterial small subunit ribosomal RNA", at positions 338 to 795 of the family's 1533-position model. The record is from RNAcentral.
CCUACGGGUGGCAGCAGUGGGGAAUAUUGCGCAAUGGGCGAAAGCCUGACGCAGCGACGCCGCGUGAGGGAUGAAGGUCUUCGGAUCGUAAACCUCUGUCAGCAGGGAAGAACGGUCACUGUGCUAAUCAGCAGUGAAUUGACGGUACCUGCAAAGGAAGCACCGGCUAACUCCGUGCCAGCAGCCGCGGUAAUACGGAGGGUGCGAGCGUUAAUCGGAAUUACUGGGCGUAAAGCGCUCGUAGGCGGUAUGUCAAGUCAAGGGUGAAAUCCCCGCGCUCAACGUGGGAACUGCUUUUGAAACUGGUAAACUGGAGUGUGGGAGAGGAGAGUGGAAUUCCAGGUGUAGGAGUGAAAUGCGUAGAUAUCUGGAGGAACAUCAGUGGCGAAGGCGACUAUCUGGCACAAAACUGACGCUGAGGAGCGAAAGCGUGGGUAGCAAACAGGAUUAGAUACCCGAGUAGUC